UACGGGGGGGGCAAGCGUUGUUCGGAAUUACUGGGCGUAAAGGGCUCGUAGGCGGCCAACUAAGUCAGACGUGAAAUCCCUCGGCUUAACCGGGGAACUGCGUCUGAUACUGGAUGGCUUGAGAUUGGGAGAGGGAUGCGGAAUUCCAGGUGUAGCGGUGAAAUGCGUAGAUAUCUGGAGGAACACCGGUGGCGAAGGCGGCUACCUGGACAGAAACUGACGCUGAGGCGCGAAAGCUAGGGGAGCAAACAGG
RNAcentral lists this ribosomal RNA (253 nucleotides) under uncultured bacterium. RNAcentral's name for it is "partial 16S ribosomal RNA". It matches the Rfam family "Bacterial small subunit ribosomal RNA", at positions 524 to 776 of the family's 1533-position model. The record is from RNAcentral.